This 382-nucleotide ribosomal RNA is filed under the name uncultured eukaryote. RNAcentral describes it as "partial 18S ribosomal RNA". It matches the Rfam family "Eukaryotic small subunit ribosomal RNA", at positions 592 to 976 of the family's 1831-position model. The record is from RNAcentral.
UGUAAGCGUAUACCAAAGUUGUUGCAGUUAAAACGCUCGUAGUCGGACUUUGGCAGUUCCGGAUGUGUGCACGUCGUGUGCGCACUUCGCGGGGAUUGCUUUUGUGGUCUUGCGUAGGAUGAGGCACUUUUAUUAGUGAACGUCCUCACGCAACCACUUUUUACUGUGAGAAAAUCAGAGUGCUCAAAGCAGGCAUUUGCCGUGAAUGUAUUAGCAUGGAAUAGUAGAAUAGGACUUGGUUCUAUUUUGUUGGUUUGUUGGGACUGAGUAAUGAUUAAGAGGGACAGUUGGGGGCAUUUGUAUUUCGGUGCUAGAGGUGAAAUUCUUAGAUUACCGAAAGACAAACUGCUGCGAAAGCGUCUGCCAAGGAUGUUUUCAUUGA